GGGGAAUAUUGGGCAAUGGACGCAAGUCUGACCCAGCAACGCCGCGUGAAGGAAGAAGGCUUUCGGGUUGUAAACUUCUUUUAAGGGGGAAGAGUAGAAGACGGUACCCCUUGAAUAAGCCACGGCUAACUACGUGCCAGCAGCCGCGGUAAUACGUAGGUGGCAAGCGUUGUCCGGAUUUACUGGGUGUAAAGGGCGUGUAGCCGGGAAGGCAAGUCAGAUGUGAAAUCUGGAGGCUCAACCUCCAAACUGCAUUUGAAACUGCUUUUCUUGAGUGUCGGAGAGGUAAUCGGAAUUCCUUGUGUAGCGGUGAAAUGCGUAGAUAUAACACAGAACCCCGAUUGCGAAGGCAGCUUACCGGGCUACAUCUGACGCUGAUGCACGAAAGCGUGGGAAUCAAACA
Molecule: ribosomal RNA, 403 nt
Filed under: uncultured Oscillibacter sp.
Lineage: Bacteria; Bacillati; Bacillota; Clostridia; Eubacteriales; Oscillospiraceae
Description: bacterial SSU rRNA
Rfam family: Bacterial small subunit ribosomal RNA
Source: RNAcentral